This 293-nucleotide ribosomal RNA is filed under the name uncultured bacterium. RNAcentral describes it as "partial 16S ribosomal RNA". It matches the Rfam family "Bacterial small subunit ribosomal RNA", at positions 505 to 796 of the family's 1533-position model. The record is from RNAcentral.
GUGUCAGCAGCCGCGGUAAGACGUAGGGAGCAAGCGUUGUCCGGAUUCAUUGGGCGUAAAGGGUCCGUAGGCGGCUCAGCAAGUCAGGUGUGAAAUCUCCAGGCUCAACCUGGAGGGGCCACCUGAUACUGCUGUGGCUUGAGUCCAGUAGGGGAGCAUGGAAUUCCCGGUGUAGCGGUGAAAUGCGCAGAUAUCGGGAGGAACACCAGUGGCGAAGGCGGUGCUCUGGGCUGGAACUGACGCUGAUGGACGAAAGCGUGGGUAGCAAACAGGAUUAGAUACCCCAGUAGUCC